Molecule: ribosomal RNA, 374 nt
Filed under: uncultured bacterium
Lineage: Bacteria
Description: bacterial SSU rRNA
Rfam family: Bacterial small subunit ribosomal RNA
Source: RNAcentral
ACGUAGGGUCCGAGCGUUGUCCGGAAUUAUUGGGCGUAAAGGGCUCGUAGGCGGUUUGUCGCGUCGGGAGUGAAAACACGGGGCUUAACCCCGUGCCUGCUUCCGAUACGGGCAGACUAGAGGUAUGCAGGGGAGAACGGAAUUCCUGGUGUAGCGGUGAAAUGCGCAGAUAUCAGGAGGAACACCGGUGGCGAAGGCGGUUCUCUGGGCAUUACCUGACGCUGAGGAGCGAAAGUGUGGGGAGCGAACAGGAUUAGAUACCCUGGUAGUCCACACCGUAAACGUUGGGCGCUAGGUGUGGGACUCAUUCCACGAGUUCCGUGCCGCAGCUAACGCAUUAAGCGCCCCGCCUGGGGAGUACGGCCGCAAGGCUA